UGCGCAGGCGGCCGUGUGUGUGAGGCGUGAAAGCCCGGAGCUCAACUCCGGAAUUGCACCUCAAACUACACGGCUAGAGCAUUGGAGAGGGUAGCAGAAUUCACGGUGUAGCAGUGAAAUGCGUAGAUAUCGUGAGGAAUACCAGAGGCGAAGGCGGCUACCUGGACAAUUGCUGACGCUCAGGCACGAAAGCGUGGGGAGCAAAAGGGAUUAGAUAACCCCUGUAGUCCACGCCCUAAACGGUGCACGACUAGGUCUUGGCGGAUUCGACCCCACCAGGGCCCAAGCUAACGCGUUAAGUGUGCCGCCUGAGGACUACGGCCGCAAGGCUAAA
RNAcentral lists this ribosomal RNA (334 nucleotides) under uncultured bacterium. RNAcentral's name for it is "bacterial SSU rRNA". It matches the Rfam family "Bacterial small subunit ribosomal RNA", at positions 568 to 898 of the family's 1533-position model. The record is from RNAcentral.